GAUGAACGCUGGCGGCGUGCCUAAUACAUGCAAGUCGAGCGAACGGACGAGAAGCUUGCUUCUCUGAUGUUAGCGGCGGACGGGUGAGUAACACGUGGAUAGCCUACCUAUAAGACUGGGAUAACUUCGGGAAACCGGAGCUAAUACCGGAUAAUAUUUUGAACCGCAUGGUUCAAAAGUGAAAGACGGUCUUGCUGUCACUUAUAGAUGGAUCCGCGCUGCAUUAGCUAGUUGGUAAGGUAACGGCUUACCAAGGCAACGAUGCAUAGCCGACCUGAGAGGGUGAUCGGCCACACUGGAACUGAGACACGGUCCAGACUCCUACGGGAGGCAGCAGUAGGGAAUCUUCCGCAAUGGGCGAAAGCCUGACGGAGCAACGCCGCGUGAGCGAUGAAGGUCUUCGGAUCGUAAAACUCUGUUAUUAGGGAAGAACAUAUGUGUAAGUAACUGUGCACAUCUUGACGGUACCUAAUCAGAAAGCCACGGCUAACUACGUG
RNAcentral lists this ribosomal RNA (497 nucleotides) under uncultured bacterium. Its description in RNAcentral is "partial 16S ribosomal RNA". It matches the Rfam family "Bacterial small subunit ribosomal RNA", at positions 28 to 507 of the family's 1533-position model. The record is from RNAcentral.